GCCAUCGCUCAACGGAUAAAAGGUACUCCGGGGAUAACAGGCUGAUACCGUCCAAGAGUUCAUAUCGACGGCGGUGUUUGGCACCUCGAUGUCGGCUCAUCACAUCCUGGGGCUGAAGUAGGUCCCAAGGGUAUGGCUGUUCGCCAUUUAAAGUGGUACGCGAGCUGGGUUUAGAACGUCGUGAGACAGUUCGGUCCCUAUCUGCCGUGGGCGCUGGAGAACUGAGGGGGGCUGCUCCUAGUACGAGAGGACCGGAGUGGACGCAUCACUGGUGUUCGGGUUGUCAUGCCAAUGGCACUGCCCGGUAGCUAAAUGCGGAAGAGAUAAGUGCUGAAAGCAUCUAAGCACGAAACUUGCCCCGAGAUGAGUUCUCCCUGAGACUUAGAGUCUCCUGAAGGAACGUUGAAGACGACGACGUUGAUAGGCCGGGUGUGUAAGCGCAGCGAUGCGUUGAGCUAACCGGUACUAAUGAACCGUGAGGCUUAACCUUACAACGCCGAAGCUGUU
This 507-nucleotide ribosomal RNA is filed under the name Escherichia coli. RNAcentral's name for it is "bacterial LSU rRNA". It matches the Rfam family "Bacterial large subunit ribosomal RNA", at positions 2441 to 2925 of the family's 2925-position model. Lineage: Bacteria; Pseudomonadati; Pseudomonadota; Gammaproteobacteria; Enterobacterales; Enterobacteriaceae. The record is from RNAcentral.